UACGUAGGGUGCGAGCGUUGUCCGGAAUUAUUGGGCGUAAAGAGCUUGUAGGCGGUUUGUCGCGUCUGCCGUGAAAUUUCGAGGCUCAACCUCGAACUUGCGGUGGGUACGGGCAGACUAGAGUGUGGUAGGGGAGACUGGAAUUCCUGGUGUAGCGGUGAAAUGCGCAGAUAUCAGGAAGAACACCAAAGGCGAAGGCAGUGUCCUGGCUGGUACCUGACGCUCAGGUGCGAAAGCUAGGGGAGCGAACGGG
This 253-nucleotide ribosomal RNA is filed under the name uncultured bacterium. RNAcentral's name for it is "partial 16S ribosomal RNA". It matches the Rfam family "Bacterial small subunit ribosomal RNA", at positions 524 to 776 of the family's 1533-position model. The record is from RNAcentral.